This 460-nucleotide ribosomal RNA is filed under the name uncultured Flavobacterium sp. RNAcentral describes it as "bacterial SSU rRNA". It matches the Rfam family "Bacterial small subunit ribosomal RNA", at positions 338 to 795 of the family's 1533-position model. Lineage: Bacteria; Pseudomonadati; Bacteroidota; Flavobacteriia; Flavobacteriales; Flavobacteriaceae. The record is from RNAcentral.
CCUACGGGAGGCAGCAGUGAGGAAUAUUGGUCAAUGGUCGCAAGACUGAACCAGCCAUGCCGCGUGCAGGAAGACGGUCCUAUGGAUUGUAAACUGCUUUUAUACAGGAAGAAACCCUCUCACGUGUGGGAGCUUGACGGUACUGUAUGAAUAAGCAUCGGCUAACUCCGUGCCAGCAGCCGCGGUAAUACGGAGGAUGCGAGCGUUAUCCGGAAUCAUUGGGUUUAAAGGGUCCGUAGGCGGUUUAAUAAGUCAGUGGUGAAAUCUGGUCGCUCAACGAUCAAACUGCCAUUGAUACUGUUAGACUUGAAUAAUUGUGAAGUAACUAGAAUAUGUAGUGUAGCGGUGAAAUGCUUAGAUAUUACAUGGAAUACCAAUUGCGAAGGCAGGUUACUAACAAUUUAUUGACGCUGAUGGACGAAAGCGUGGGGAGCGAACAGGAUUAGAUACCCCAGUAGUC